GACGAACGCUGGCGGCGUAGCCUAAUACAUGCAAGUGGGACGCAAGGGAACACACUGUGCUUGCACACCGUGUUUUCUUGAGUCGCGAACGGGUGAGUAACGCGUAGGUAACCUGCCUAUUAGCGGGGGAUAACUAUUGGAAACGAUAGCUAAUACCGCAUAAUAUUAAUUAUUGCAUGAUAAUUGAUUGAAAGAUGCAAGCGCAUCACUAGUAGAUGGACCUGCGUUGUAUUAGCUAGUUGGUAAGGUAAGAGCUUACCAAGGCGACGAUACAUAGCCGACCUGAGAGGGUGAUCGGCCACACUGGGACUGAGACACGGCCCAGACUCCUACGGGAGGCAGCAGUAGGGAAUCUUCGGCAAUGGACGAAAGUC
RNAcentral lists this ribosomal RNA (374 nucleotides) under Streptococcus mutans. RNAcentral's name for it is "bacterial SSU rRNA". It matches the Rfam family "Bacterial small subunit ribosomal RNA", at positions 28 to 383 of the family's 1533-position model. Lineage: Bacteria; Bacillati; Bacillota; Bacilli; Lactobacillales; Streptococcaceae. The record is from RNAcentral.